GCUGGGGAUAUAGCUCAAUUGGUAGAGUGCUUGCCUCACAUGCAUAAGGCCCUGGGUUCAAUCUCCAGCACAACA
RNAcentral lists this transfer RNA (75 nucleotides) under Marmota monax (woodchuck). RNAcentral describes it as "tRNA.Val". The stretch from base 11 to 68 matches the Rfam family "tRNA", at positions 8 to 63 of the family's 71-position model. From Rfam's summary of the family: Transfer RNA (tRNA) molecules are approximately 80 nucleotides in length. Lineage: Eukaryota; Metazoa; Chordata; Mammalia; Rodentia; Sciuridae. The record is from RNAcentral.